Benincasa hispida (wax gourd) is the source of this 89-nucleotide small nucleolar RNA. RefSeq annotates it as small nucleolar RNA snoR114. The record is from RefSeq and is a predicted model, not a curated record. Lineage: Eukaryota; Viridiplantae; Streptophyta; Magnoliopsida; Cucurbitales; Cucurbitaceae.
UGGCGAUGAUGAAAUUAGAGUUGACCGUGAAGACUUGGGUCUCUCACAACCGUCUGAUCUUCGGACGACAUAUUCAACCCACGGAGCCU